This is an RNA transcript of Rattus rattus (black rat), 2705 nucleotides long. It is a transcript of the gene named MYST/Esa1 associated factor 6, with no coding region annotated. NCBI's taxonomy places the organism in Eukaryota, Metazoa, Chordata, Mammalia, Rodentia, Muridae. The record is from RefSeq and is a predicted model, not a curated record. The transcript has 9 exons.
UCGCGCGCCGCCGCCUCCGCCGCCGCUUGAGCCCAACAUGGCGAUGCACAACAAGACGGCGCCGCCGCAGAUCCCAGACACCCGGCGGGAGCUGGCCGAGCUGGUGAAGCGGAAGCAGGAGCUGGCGGAAACGCUUGCAAACUUGGAGAGACAGAUCUAUGCUUUUGAAGGAAGCUACCUGGAAGACACUCAGAUGUAUGGCAAUAUUAUCCGUGGCUGGGAUCGGUAUUUGACAAAUCAAAAAAACUCCAAUAGCAAAAACGACCGGAGGAACCGGAAGUUCAAGGAGGCCGAGCGUCUCUUCAGCAAAUCCUCAGUCACGUCGGCUGCUGCAGUAAGUGCCUUGGCAGGGGUUCAGGACCAGCUCAUCGAAAAGAGGGAACCAGGAAGUGGGACGGAAAGCGACACUUCCCCAGACUUCCACAACCAGGAAAACGAGCCCGCGCAGGAGGACCCUGAAGACCUGGAUGGCUCCGUUCAGGGAGUGAAGCCUCAGAAAGCUGCCUCUUCCACCUCCUCAGGGAGCCACCACAGCAGCCACAAAAAGCGGAAGAAUAAAAACCGGCACAGUUCUCUGAGUAUGCUGCCUUCAGAUACGGGGAAACACUUAAAGCUCCUAAAUGCGGGCAUUCCUUCGUAGGAACCUUCUGAGCACUGUUACUUUUGGAGUGGGAAAUGAGAUGGGAAUGACACCAGUGGACAGAGAGGUCAGGUGUCUCAGGGGACUUAGUGCCGCUCUGCCUGGGUUUGUAUGCUACCGCUGGGCCUUAACUCAGGGUAAUGAAGUACCUAGAGCAAGGGGCUCUCCCUCACCCUGGGUUUGGAAGCCUGAACACUGUGGGGUCAAAGGGGCACAGGGCUGUGUGGGGCUGGCUCCCUAUCCUCUGGUUGGCUGUGACCCGUGUUGCUUUAGAAACCUGUGGGGGUGUCCCCUCCUGCACCUAAGGUGUUACACUGUGACCUUCACCUGCCCGGCACUGUGGAUAUUAUAGAGUUAAAUUUAACUGGUUUCAACCUCUUUGGCAUCAACAGAUUCUUGAAUUCUUUUAAACUUUUCUUGUUCUUUUAAAUUGCAGAAAUAGUAUUUUCCCCCAAUAAAUAGUGAUGAAGGAUUACCGCUUUAUGUUUUUCUACAAACCAAAAACCACUGUGCUAACCUCUCAAACGAUAGUGAGAAGCAGCAAGACUUAUCCCCUACCCCUCUGGUAUGUAUAUUAGGUUAGGCUGGGAAGUUUUUUUAAAAACAGAAAAACGUGAUGGAGGAUUGAUCUGAAGUUAAACAAAAAGCCCCGAGCUGACUAUUAGAAGACUUGCUAGCAGGAGCUUCCCCUCUGACCUCACAGCGACAAACGUCCCUCGCCUGACUGUGCCAUCUGCCUCUGCCCCCCAGACCCAGUGCCUGUAACUGGCUCGUCUGUCCUAACUGUAGUGACAAGUCCUCCCUAGGAGACUUUGGGUCGUUCGCUGUCCAUCGUUAGUUGAACCUCGGGGAGACCUGUCCUCGGUCCCGGUCCCUGCGGGCGGCUAACUGUGCAUUUCUCCCUUCUUAGAAUGAAUGUCUCCCCCCAAACUGGCUGGCACCAGCUCCAUCUGUGACCCCCCAUCGAGGAGUGCACACCUCUGGUUUUGUGUUACGCGGAAAGUAGAGCCCAAGGUCCACUGCAGAUGGAGGCUGUAAAUAAUCUCCAUUCUCCUGUUUUGUUCCGUGUCGUAUUGUGUUUUUUUUUUUUUUUUAUUGUUGUUUUUGCCAUCUGAUUUACUUUUGGGCCAUUGUGUGAUGCCUGUACCUUCCUGAUGACAUAUCUGAUUGUCUGUUUCAUGUGGUGUUGAUAUUCACAACUGAAACUAAAGUGGCUUUUAGAAGGAAAUGGGCAACUCGGCCCUCUGGCUUCGUGAUUUCUUCAGGGGGAAGGUAGAGAGCGUUUAAUGACGGAUGGCCUAUUUGUUUGAGGGACAAGAAAGCUGAAAAGCACGCGCUGAAGCCCCCCUGUUGGAAUAGACUCUUUGUAGAAAUAACAUUCCCCGGCUCUCAUCUCUCACACAUUCCUUCCACCCCCGAGACACUCUCCUCUUUAUUUUACUACUACCGCGCCUGUCGGAGAGUUUCCUUUUCCAUCUCUUCUCUUUUUGUUAACGUUCACCUGCUUAGAUAUUGCUCCAAAAAUCGCCAAGCCAGUAGAGAAGCCCAGAAUUACUGAAACUCAGCUAACACUGAGUAGAGUGAAAUCCUCACAGGAGCCAGCACUGCCCACAGAUGUCCCUCCCUGCACAGCUCAUUCCAUGCCCCGUUCUCAAUGAGUGGCCUUGGCUGCACUUUGCAGUCACCUGGGAUUCCAACCCCAGAACUCUAGGGUAUGCCUUGGUGGUGAGGUUCUAGCACAGAGUUCAAGAUGCAGAGCCCCACAGCAUUGGACCAGGCCGAGGGGUAAGAUUCAGGGCCCUGCCCGUCCUCUGACGUCUGUCCACAGUCCUCCCGGACACCUGGGUCUUUGUAGGAGACUUGGGCCACUGUGGUCAUGCUGUUGGCGGAAAUGGCUGACCUCUUACCAGAACCACCCUGUGAGAUGUGCAAAAGCCUUUCAUUUUGUUCUUAAACACUCCUAUUUUCUUUGAUGAGUUCCUGAUCAUGGGCUUUGUCUCUGUCAGCAGUUGGUAAGGAAGUCGUUUAUAAUAUGUAGAUUAAAUCUCAGGCACAUUUUGUCAGU